UAAGGAAUAUUGGUCAAUGGACGGAAGUCUGAACCAGCCAUGCCGCGUGCAGGAAGACGGCCCUACGGGUUGUAAACUGCUUUUGUACUGGAAUAAACCCCUUUAUGUAUAGAGGGCUGAAUGUACAGUAAGAAUAAGGAUCGGCUAACUCCGUGCCAGCAGCCGCGGUAAUACGGAGGAUCCGAGCGUUAUCCGGAUUUAUUGGGUUUAAAGGGUGCGUAGGUGGCUUAUUAAGUCAGGGGUGAAAGACGGCAGCUUAACUGUCGCAGUGCCCUUGAUACUGAUGAGCUUGAAUAUACUAGAGGUAGGCGGAAUGUGACAAGUAGCGGUGAAAUGCAUAGAUAUGUCACAGAACACCGAUUGCGAAGGCAGCUUACUAUGGUAUGAUUGACACUGAGGCACGAAAGCGUGGGGAUCAAACA
Molecule: ribosomal RNA, 422 nt
Filed under: uncultured Mucilaginibacter sp.
Lineage: Bacteria; Pseudomonadati; Bacteroidota; Sphingobacteriia; Sphingobacteriales; Sphingobacteriaceae
Description: bacterial SSU rRNA
Rfam family: Bacterial small subunit ribosomal RNA
Source: RNAcentral